GACGAACGCUGGCGGCGUGCUUAACACAUGCAAGUCGAACGGAAAGGCCCUGCUUUUGUGGGGUGCUCGAGUGGCGAACGGGUGAGUAACACGUGAGUAACCUGCCCUUGACUUUGGGAUAACUUCAGGAAACUGGGGCUAAUACCGGAUAGGAGCUCCUGCUGCAUGGUGGGGGUUGGAAAGUUUCGGCGGUUGGGGAUGGACUCGCGGCUUAUCAGCUUGUUGGUGGGGGAGUGGCUUACCAAGGCUUUGACGGGUAGCCGGCCUGAGAGGGUGACCGGCCACAUUGGGAGUGCGAUACGGCCCAGACUCCUACGGGAGGCAGCAGUGGGGAAUAUUGCACAAUGGGCGGAAGCCUGAUGCAGCAACGCCGCGUGCGGGAUGACGGCCUUCGGGUUGUAAACCGCUUUCGCCUGUGACGAAGCGUGAGUGACGGUAAUGGGUAAAGAAGCACCGGCUAACUACGUG
RNAcentral lists this ribosomal RNA (468 nucleotides) under uncultured bacterium. RNAcentral's name for it is "partial 16S ribosomal RNA". It matches the Rfam family "Bacterial small subunit ribosomal RNA", at positions 28 to 507 of the family's 1533-position model. The record is from RNAcentral.